AGCUGACUGGAAGGCUUUUCUUGUGCUACUUUGGCUUUAAAACCUGGAGAGGUUGACUGGAAGUGUCUGAGUUGUGAAGAAUGCCAAAAUAACAGCAAGAAAACAAAGUUGGUGAAGUACAAGCGGUAAUAGCAUUGAGAACUCCCUCUGGUUGGAUUCCCAAACUGCUCUGCAGGUUGCUGGCUACAGCAGACUACCAAAACAAAUAUCUUACCAUGAUUAAGGUCAGAGCCAGAAGCCUACAGUAAUACAUACUUCAGUAUUUGACAGUGUUGGCAAAAAAUUGAAGCAGAAAUAUAAUUACUCUCUUCUCCUUUCAUAUCUCAAUUGAAAAACAGUGAAGAUCAUGUCUUGCACGUACAAGAGAGGAGCGUUAUCAACUGUAUUUAAGAAAACUGUAAAAGCAUGUACUAUUGUGAUAUAGCCAGAUUGUUACAAAAUAGUAAUUUCUGCCUUUUAAAAACUGAUCCUAUUGCAAAUCAGGAGGAGUGCUUGGAAUGGUAGGAGACUCAAAAGGAAUGGUUCAUCCAAAGAUUAUUAGAGUGUCUUAAGGGUUGGAUGACUUAAAUUGAGAAAAGGACAAAUCUGACAUCUGACAGAAGCUAGCCUUCAGAUAAACAAAAUGAUCUUUCCUUUCUGUGCUACCCCAAUUAAACAGGUAUACAGCGGUAGACAGCUUGUUUGGUAGUUACACAGUUGUGAGGGUGUGCACUCUGCACACAGUUUCAGUUCAUUAAUAACAGUCACCUCAUUUCUUGCAGUGACUCUUCUCCAAUACCUUUUUUUUUUUUGCAACGUAUGGAUUAAAAUAAGCCCUUCAUUUUGGCCUAUAAUCAUUGUCUUGUAAAAAUUCGCCCAUUCAAAGCAUCCAGGAAUGUUUUGUAAUAAGUUUUGUGCCAUAUGUCACGUUAGGAAGAUAAACUUCUCAUCUUGGAGCAAGUGUCUAAGCUCCUCAGAGUUGUUAAGGCUGGUUGCACAACAGCCCUGUCAGAUACAGGGACUUGGGGCAGAGUCUUGCCCACCAUUUCACAGCUGUAUAGUAUAGUACAACAGGG
Pezoporus occidentalis (night parrot) is the source of this 1055-nucleotide long non-coding RNA. RefSeq lists it as uncharacterized. The record is from RefSeq and is a predicted model, not a curated record. NCBI's taxonomy places the organism in Eukaryota, Metazoa, Chordata, Aves, Psittaciformes, Psittacidae. The transcript is spliced from 4 exons.